CUUGACCGAUUUUUCUCUCUGGAUCGAGCUCGCUCGAUCGGUGAGCUUUCUUUCUAUCCCUCUCGAUCUGUUAGGGUUUGGAUUUCUGUUCUCUCUCAAUCCGUUCGGGUCUUGGAUUCUGACCUUCCCCUCUCUCGUUCGUUUUCUCUGGUAAUCGCUCUCUCGGUUAGAUCUAACGCCCUCGUUGCGAAUCGCGCCCUUCCGGAGCUCGAGAUACAGUGGUUCGGGUUCAUGCCGAGUUGGAAGCCUCGGCUCAGCUCUCUGUCUCUGGCUCGAUCAGUAUCCGUAUCACUGAUAAACCAGGUAAACUCAUUCCCCUCACUCCCGCUCUGUUGCAAAAAGAUUUGUAGAAGAAUCACGUUCACGUAGUUCAGGUGUGAUUCACUUAAGAUCUGAGCUGUAACUAGAUGACUUGUGAUGGCUCUGUGAUUUUAAUAUUGAUUUUAGAAUGUUAGAUGAGAACAUAGCUUCAGUCCCGUUCCAUAGCUUGAGUUAAUCGUUUUGUUGUACGUGAAGUGUUUGACGAAAUACCUCAAAAGCAUGAGCGAGAAAUAGAUCAUGAUAAUGUCAGAUCUGAAAACGUGUUAAUAUGAAACAUUUCUUAGAAGUUGAUUUACCGAGUAUAUAGAUCUGAUACCACUCAUUGUGCCAUUGUUACUGAACCUGUGUUGUUUAUUGUGUUCUGUGUUCUGAUCUGACCUUCUGUGCAAAAUGAUGUGAGAUGAGUGGG
RNAcentral lists this long non-coding RNA (730 nucleotides) under Eucalyptus grandis. RNAcentral's name for it is "long non-coding RNA (EGRA_LNC005374)". The record is from RNAcentral. Lineage: Eukaryota; Viridiplantae; Streptophyta; Magnoliopsida; Myrtales; Myrtaceae.